CCCUUAGACGUUCUGGGCCGCACGCGCGCUACACUGACCAGUGCAACAAGCAUCCGUCCUUGGCCGACAGGCUCGGGCAAUCUUUGAACGCUGGUCGUGAUGGGGAUAGACUUUUGCAAUUUUUGGUCUUCAACGAGGAAUUCCUAGUAAACGCAAGUCAUCAACUUGCAUUGAUUACGUCCCUGCCCUUUGUACACACCGCCCGUCGCACCUACCGAUUGAAUGGUCCGGUGAAGCCUCCGGAUUGGCGCGCACCUCGGGUGCUGCCGAGAAGUUGGCUAAACCUUACCAUUUAGAGGAAGGUGAAGUCGUAACA
This 316-nucleotide ribosomal RNA is filed under the name uncultured eukaryote. RNAcentral describes it as "partial 18S ribosomal RNA". It matches the Rfam family "Eukaryotic small subunit ribosomal RNA", at positions 1470 to 1796 of the family's 1831-position model. The record is from RNAcentral.